This 450-nucleotide ribosomal RNA is filed under the name uncultured bacterium. RNAcentral describes it as "partial 16S ribosomal RNA". It matches the Rfam family "Bacterial small subunit ribosomal RNA", at positions 338 to 795 of the family's 1533-position model. The record is from RNAcentral.
CCUACGGGGGGCUGCAGUGGGGAAUAUUGCGCAAUGGGCGAAAGCCUGACGCAGCGACGCCGCGUGGGUGAUGAAGGCCUUCGGGUUGUAAAGCCCUGUCGGGUGGAACGAACGAUCUGGCGGCGAAUAACCGCCGGGUGUGACGGUACCACCGAAGGAAGCCCCGGCUAACUACGUGCCAGCAGCCGCGGUAAGACGUAGGGGGCGAGCGUUGGUCGGAUUUACUGGGCGGACUGCGCGCGUCGGCGGCGAAAUGCCUCGGCGUAACCGAAGUCCCGCAUCCGAUACUGUCUGGCUUGAGUCUAGGAGAGGAAAGCAGAAUUCCCAGUGUAGCGGUGAAAUGCGUAGAUAUUGGGAGGAACACCGGUGGCGAAGGCGGCUUUCCGGACUAGUACUGACGCUGAGGCGCGAAAGCUAGGGGAGCGAACGGGAUUAGAUACCCCAGUAGUC